GAACGGGUGAGUAACACGUGGGUGACCUGCCCUCUGGAGGGGGAUAACCCGGGGAAACCCGGGCUAAGACCGCAUAAGCCUUCGAGGUCAAACUCAAAGGGAAAAGGGUUUAGCUUUCGAGCUUGAUCCUGCCGGAGGAGGGGCCCGCGUCCCAUUAGCUAGUUGGUGGGGUAAAAGCCUACCAAGGCUACGAUGGGUAGCCGGUCUGAGAGGACGAACGGCCACACUGGAACUGAGACACGGUCCAGACUCCUACGGGAGGCAGCAGUGGGGAAUUUUGGGCAAUGGGCGAAAGCCUGACCCAGCAACGCCGCGUGGAGGAUGAAGGCCCUCGGGUCGUAAACUCCUGUCCUAGGGGAAGAAAAAAAUGACGGUACCCUUGGAGGAAGCCCCGGCUAACUCCGUGCCAGCAGCCGCGGUAAGACGGGGGGGGCGAGCGUUGUUCGGAAUUACUGGGCGUAAAGGGCGCGCAGGCGGCUUGGGAAGUCUUGGGUGAAAGCCCCCAGCUCAACUGGGGAAUGGCCCGAGAAACCACUAGGCUGGAGUGCUGGAGAGGGAAGCGGAAUUCCCGGUGGAGCGGUGAAAUGCGUAGAUAUC
This 597-nucleotide ribosomal RNA is filed under the name uncultured bacterium. RNAcentral's name for it is "bacterial SSU rRNA". It matches the Rfam family "Bacterial small subunit ribosomal RNA", at positions 100 to 698 of the family's 1533-position model. The record is from RNAcentral.